AUACGUAGGGGGCGAGCGUUGUCCGGAAUGAUUGGGCGUAAAGGGCGCGUAGGCGGCCCGGUAAGUCUGGAGUGAAAGUCCUGUUUUUAAGAUGGGAAUUGCUUUGGAUACUGUCGGGCUUGAGUUCAGGAGAGGUAAGUGGAAUUCCCAGUGUAGCGGUGAAAUGCGUAGAGAUUGGGAGGAACACCAGUGGCGAAGGCGACUUACUGGACUGUAACUGACGCUGAGGCGCGAAAGUGUGGGGAGCAAACAGGAUUAGAUACCCUGGUAGUCCACACUGUAAACGAUGAAUGCUAGGUGUAGGGGGUAUCGACCCCUUCUGUGCCGCAGUCAACACAAUAAGCAUUCCGCCUGGGGAGUACGGCCGCAAGGUUGAAACUCAAAUGAAUGGACGGGG
This 397-nucleotide ribosomal RNA is filed under the name uncultured bacterium. Its description in RNAcentral is "partial 16S ribosomal RNA". It matches the Rfam family "Bacterial small subunit ribosomal RNA", at positions 523 to 918 of the family's 1533-position model. The record is from RNAcentral.